Molecule: ribosomal RNA, 227 nt
Filed under: uncultured bacterium
Lineage: Bacteria
Description: partial 16S ribosomal RNA
Rfam family: Bacterial small subunit ribosomal RNA
Source: RNAcentral
AGUAACGCGUGAGGAACCUGCCUCAAAGAGGGGGACAACAGUUGGAAACGACUGCUAAUACCGCAUAAGCCCACAGCUCGGCAUCGAGCAGAGGGAAAAGGAGUGAUCCGCUUUGAGAUGGCCUCGCGUCCGAUUAGCUAGUUGGUGAGGUAAUGGCCCACCAAGGCGACGAUCGGUAGCCGGACUGAGAGGUUGAACGGCCACAUUGGGACUGAGACGCGGCCCAG